GCACUCUAAUGAGACUGCCGGUGACAAACCGGAGGAAGGUGGGGAUGACGUCAAGUCCUCAUGGCCCUUAUGGGUAGGGCUUCACACGUCAUACAAUGGUACAUACAGAGGGCCGCCAACCCGCGAGGGGGAGCUAAUCCCAGAAAGUGUAUCGUAGUCCGGAUUGUAGUCUGCAACUCGACUGCAUGAAGUUGGAAUCGCUAGUAAUCGCGGAUCAGCAUGUCGCGGUGAAUACGUUCCCGGGUCUUGUACACACCGCCCGUCACACCAUGGGAGCGGGUUUUACCAGAAGUAGGUAGCUUAACCGCAAGGAGGGCGCUUACCACGGUAGGAUUCGUGACUGGGGUGAAGUCGUAACAAGGUAGCCGUAUCGGAAGGUGCGGCUGGAUCACCUCCUUU
This 399-nucleotide ribosomal RNA is filed under the name Duganella violaceipulchra. RNAcentral's name for it is "bacterial SSU rRNA". It matches the Rfam family "Bacterial small subunit ribosomal RNA", at positions 1135 to 1533 of the family's 1533-position model. Lineage: Bacteria; Pseudomonadati; Pseudomonadota; Betaproteobacteria; Burkholderiales; Oxalobacteraceae. The record is from RNAcentral.